CGCCGCAGGAUCCGCGCCCCGGAGGCGGCUUCCAGCGCCUCAGCCGUGCCUUUAACUUCAGAGCCUGCCCCACAGCAUCAGCUCGUUUGUUGCUUUUAGUAGCGAAUGCCGGUACUCCGGGAUGGCUGUAGAAGUAAGGCAGACUGUGACAGGCUGUUUCAUGCAGAGAGACCGCGGGCACUCUAUCCUGUCCCCCAGGCAGUGAGAAGCCAAAAGAAGCAAAUCUUCAGUGCUACAACAAUGUGUGUUUCAGGUCACAGACUGCUUCUGGAGCACAGGUGACCCUGCACUGGAACAGAUUGACCAGAGAGGUUGUGGAGUCUUCUCCAGAGAUAUUCAAAAGCUGUCAGCAUCUGGAGUACCAUUGGUCUAGCGGGCUGUGUUCGAGGAGAGAGCUUGGGCUAGAUGACCACCAGUGGCCCAGUCCACUUAACUCAUCUGUGUGUUUCAGUGAAGAAGGAAGGGUAGAAAACAAAACUUUUCAACAACUCUAAUAAAGCCCUAGAGAAACUUAGAAUUUUAUCAGUUCAAUUUGACUGGCAACCGAAAGAAGGAUGAAAGAUGAAAGAUGACUAUUGGGAUGUACUUGUAUCCCAUCAGGGCGAAAUAAAAGGUAACAAAGAAUGAAGUAACUCAAGGUAAGCACAAUAGUAAUGAAUUGAAAUUAAAGCCAUAAAAUACAACAUAAGCCAUUUCUCCAUCAAAAAUGAAGUGGUUAAUCACUGGAACAA
Long non-coding RNA from Prinia subflava (tawny-flanked prinia), 731 nucleotides. RefSeq lists it as uncharacterized. Lineage: Eukaryota; Metazoa; Chordata; Aves; Passeriformes; Cisticolidae. The record is from RefSeq and is a predicted model, not a curated record. The transcript has 3 exons.